GAUGAACGCUAGCGGCAGGCCUAACACAUGCAAGUCGAGGGGUAGAAGGAGCUUGCUCCUUUGAGACCGGCGCACGGGUGCGUAACGCGUAUGCAAUCUACCUUGUACAGGGGAAUAGCCCAGAGAAAUUUGGAUUAAUGCCCCAUAGUAUAUAACCUUCGCAUGUUGGUUAUAUUAAAGUUCCAACGGUACAAGAUGAGCAUGCGUCCCAUUAGUUAGUUGGUAAGGUAACGGCUUACCAAGACGAUGAUGGGUAGGGGUCCUGAGAGGGAGAUCCCCCACACUGGUACUGGGACACGGACCAGACUCCUACGGGAGGCAGCAGUGAGGAAUAUUGGUCAAUGGUCGCAAGACUGAACCAGCCAUGCCGCGUGCAGGAAGACGGUCCUAUGGAUUGUAAACUGCUUUUAGACAGGAAGAAACCCUCCCACGUGUGGGAGCUUGACGGUACUGUAGGAAUAAGGAUCGGCUAACUCCGUG
This 480-nucleotide ribosomal RNA is filed under the name uncultured bacterium. RNAcentral describes it as "partial 16S ribosomal RNA". It matches the Rfam family "Bacterial small subunit ribosomal RNA", at positions 28 to 507 of the family's 1533-position model. The record is from RNAcentral.